This 253-nucleotide ribosomal RNA is filed under the name uncultured bacterium. RNAcentral's name for it is "partial 16S ribosomal RNA". It matches the Rfam family "Bacterial small subunit ribosomal RNA", at positions 524 to 776 of the family's 1533-position model. The record is from RNAcentral.
UACGGAGGGAGCUAGCGUUGUUCGGAAUUACUGGGAGUAAAGCGCACGUAGGCGGCUUUGUAAGUUAGAGGUGAAAGCCCGGGGCUCAACUCCGGAACUGCCUUUAAGACUGCAUCGCUUGAAUCCAGGAGAGGUGAGUGGAAUUCCGAGUGUAGAGGUGAAAUUCGUAGAUAUUCGGAAGAACACCAGUGGCGAAGGCGGCUCACUGGACUGGUAUUGACGCUGAGGUGCGAAAGCGUGGGGAGCAAACAGG